CCUACGGGUGGCAGCAGUGGGGAAUAUUGCACAAUGGGGGAAACCCUGAUGCAGCGACGCCGCGUGAGUGAAGAAGUAUUUCGGUAUGUAAAGCUCUAUCAGCAGGGAAGAAAAUGAUGGUAACUGAUUAAGAAGCCACGGCUAAAUACGUGCCAGCAGGCGCGGUAAUACGGAGGGGGCAAGGGUUAUCCGGAUUUACUGGGUGUAAAGGGAGCGUAGACGGCAGCACAAGUCUGGCGUGAAAUGCCGGGGCUUAAACCCGGAACUGCUUUGGAAACUGGGCAGCUAGAGUGCAGGAGAGGUAGGUGGAAUUCCUAGUGUAGCGGUGAAAUGCGUAGAGAUUAGGAGGAACACCAGUGGCGAAGGCGGCGUACUGGACUGUAACUGACGUUGAGGCUCGAAAGCGUGGGGAGCAAACAGGAUUAGAUACCCUUGUAGUC
This 440-nucleotide ribosomal RNA is filed under the name uncultured bacterium. RNAcentral describes it as "partial 16S ribosomal RNA". It matches the Rfam family "Bacterial small subunit ribosomal RNA", at positions 338 to 795 of the family's 1533-position model. The record is from RNAcentral.